This is a long non-coding RNA of Penaeus monodon (black tiger shrimp), 1147 nucleotides long. RefSeq lists it as uncharacterized. The record is from RefSeq and is a predicted model, not a curated record. Lineage: Eukaryota; Metazoa; Arthropoda; Malacostraca; Decapoda; Penaeidae. The transcript has 2 exons.
AAGAAAUUACGCACGUAAAGGGUAUAUUUCGUCUUUAAGCACUAUGGGAGCCGCAGUUGCUUGCUGUAAAACAAUAUUUUAAGACAUAGUUUCGUCUCAUUUUUUGCAGACAAGGGUUGAUAUUUUUCUAAAAGAACCAGGAUGAGCGACGACUGCGGAGGCGGAGGCGACUCGGGAGGCGGAGGGGGAUGCGACUCGGGAGGCGGAGGGGGAUGCGACUCGGGAGGAGGGUGGGGUUCUGGCGGAGGAGGAAGCAGCUUCGACUGGAGUAAUGAUGACAAUGGAGGAGGAGGAGGAGGAGGAGGAGGAGAUUGCGAGGACGCCUUCGAAUACAUGGAGACGUCGAGCGGUCAUCGAGUCAGGAUGCCGAAGUCGAGGUCAAGAGGCGGGGGCGGCAGCAGUUCGAGUUCGAACGGCAAAUUGUGCCUGUAUGCAAUUGUGUUCUUUAUUUUUGUGGGGCUCAUUAUAUAUCUGUUUUCUAGGUUUAGCUUUUGAUUCUGGGAAUGUGGCUUGGUGUCUCGGAAUCAAAAAUUGCUUAUGUGAGUAAAAGGUUAGUAUUAACAACUUUCUUUGUUAUAUAUAUUAAUUAUUAAGUAUUUUUACACAGUAAUGAAUGUCAUGUAUAUUUCGUAUAUCCGUUACCCAUACAUUUACACCAAAAGAAAGUAAUGGUAGUUUUAUAUGAAUUCUUUUGUAGUUUAUAAUUUUGAAACAUGCUUUAAUUAUAAUAUGUGAUAAAUGAUGAUUUUUGUAAUUCAUCCCGUUACAUUCUGUUCUUAAUUGUUAAUAAUAUCCUUUUAAUUUGUGCAUGGAUUAUUUUUGUUAAUGUCGGAUGUGAUAAGAACGAAUGAAUGGUAUAAAGGUCUAUAUAGCCAGAAAGAAAGAGCGGUUGGAAGAUAUAUGAGAAUGAUUAAGUGAGGAUAUUUGGGGUCGAGCUCGCAAGCACCGCGCCCUCGACACCCAAGGAGACGGGGACCUCGCAGCCGCCUUCCUUGGGGCGCAGUGAACCCAAGGCCAGGACCCCUUCAUCUGCCUUUUGAAGCCACCCUUUGGUGAUAUCCGACGGCAGCGUCCAACCUGUCUCGUUGACCCUCUGUUAUUAGACUGUUGAUUCGUACUUUAUGUAAUAAAAGUGAUAUAUGAAAUC